UCUGGCGGCAGUAGCACAGGUGGUCCCACCUGACCCCAUGCCGAACUCAGAAGUGAAACGCCGUAGCGCCGAUGGUAGUGUGGGGUCUCCCCAUGCGAGAGUAGGGAACUGCCAGAC
Molecule: ribosomal RNA, 117 nt
Filed under: Salmonella enterica subsp. enterica serovar Choleraesuis
Lineage: Bacteria; Pseudomonadati; Pseudomonadota; Gammaproteobacteria; Enterobacterales; Enterobacteriaceae
Also listed under: 2 other names
Source: RNAcentral